Molecule: ribosomal RNA, 773 nt
Filed under: uncultured bacterium
Lineage: Bacteria
Description: bacterial SSU rRNA
Rfam family: Bacterial small subunit ribosomal RNA
Source: RNAcentral
AGAGUUUGAUCAUGGCUCAGGACGAACGCUGGCGGCGUGCUUAACACAUGCAAGUCGAACGGAAAGGCCCUUCGGGGUACUCGAGUGGCGAACGGGUGAGUAACACGUGGGUGAUCUGCCCUGCACUUUGGGAUAAGCCUGGGAAACUGGGUCUAAUACCGAAUAUGACCAUGCGCCUCCUGGUGUGUGGUGGAAAGCUUUUGCGGUGUAGGAUGGGCCCGCGGCCUAUCAGCUUGUUGGUGGGGUAAUGGCCUACCAAGGCGACGACGGGUAGCCGGCCUGAGAGGGUGACCGGCCACACUGGGACUGAGAUACGGCCCAGACUCCUACGGGAGGCAGCAGUGGGGAAUAUUGCACAAUGGGCGCAAGCCUGAUGCAGCGACGCCGCGUGAGGGAUGACGGCCUUCGGGUUGUAAACCUCUUUCAGCACAGACGAAGCGCAAGUGACGGUAUGUGCAGAAGAAGGACCGGCCAACUACGUGCCAGCAGCCGCGGUAAUACGUAGGGUCCGAGCGUUGUCCGGAAUUACUGGGCGUAAAGAGCUCGUAGGUGGUUUGUCGCGUUGUUCGUGAAAACUCACAGCUUAACUGUGGGCGUGCGGGCGAUACGGGCAGACUUGAGUACUGCAGGGGAGACUGGAAUUCCUGGUGUAGCGGUGGAAUGCGCAGAUAUCAGGAGGAACACCGGUGGCGAAGGCGGGUCUCUGGGCAGUAACUGACGCUGAGGAGCGAAAGCGUGGGGAGCGAACAGGAUUAGAUACCCCGGUAGUCCAA